UUUUUUUGAUUAUCUGAUUUUUAUUUUUAUUCCUCUCAUUUUCAUUAAUUCAUAUUAAUUUUAAUAUUGAUCCAAAAAAUAUGAGAGUUUCACCAAAAAAAAUUAAAUAAAAUCCACUUUCAUUUUCUAAAUUAAAAAUAUUUUUUGGAUCAUUAUUAAAAAUUUUCAUGAUUUAAUUGAUUUUCUGAAUAUUUUUAAUUGUUUAAAAAUACUUUUAUGUUUCCAAAAUUAUUGAAAAUUUUUCUCCAAGGUCCUUUGACCUUGUUUGACCUAUGAUAAAU
This 281-nucleotide long non-coding RNA is filed under the name Lathyrus oleraceus (garden pea). RNAcentral's name for it is "Pisum sativum (pea) long non-coding RNA (PSAT_LNC005494)". The record is from RNAcentral. Lineage: Eukaryota; Viridiplantae; Streptophyta; Magnoliopsida; Fabales; Fabaceae.